RNAcentral lists this non-coding RNA (30 nucleotides) under Rattus norvegicus (Norway rat). The record is from RNAcentral. Lineage: Eukaryota; Metazoa; Chordata; Mammalia; Rodentia; Muridae.
UUAUCGAUAAGAAAGCUUACCUUUCCUAAA